AAUUUUUGACAAUGGGGGGAACCCUGAUUCAGCCAUGCCGCGUGUGUGAAGAAGGUCUNCGGAUUNUNAAGCACUCUAAGUUGGGNGGAAGAGCUGUAGGCUAAUACCUUGCACUCUCGACGUUCUCAACAGAAUACGCCCCGGCCAACUUCGCGCCAGCAGCCGCGGUAAUACGAAGGGUGCAAGCGUUAAUCGGAAUUACCGGGCGUAAAGCGCGCGUAGGUGGGUCGUUAAGUGGGAUAGGAAAGCCCCGGGCGCAAACUGGGAGGUGCAUCCAAGACUGGCGAGAUAGAGUACGGUAGAGGGUGGUGGAAUUUCCUGUGUAGCGGUGAAAUGCGUGGAUAUAGGAAGGAACACCAGUGGCGAAGGCGACCACCUGGGCUGAGACUGACACUGAGGUGCGAAAGCGUGGGGAGCAAACAGG
RNAcentral lists this ribosomal RNA (424 nucleotides) under uncultured bacterium. Its description in RNAcentral is "partial 16S ribosomal RNA". It matches the Rfam family "Bacterial small subunit ribosomal RNA", at positions 360 to 776 of the family's 1533-position model. The record is from RNAcentral.